RNAcentral lists this ribosomal RNA (301 nucleotides) under uncultured bacterium. RNAcentral describes it as "partial 16S ribosomal RNA". It matches the Rfam family "Bacterial small subunit ribosomal RNA", at positions 509 to 807 of the family's 1533-position model. The record is from RNAcentral.
CAGUAGCCGCGGUAAUACGAGGGGGGCAAGCGUUGUUCGGAAUUAUUGGGCAUAAAGGGCGCGUAGGCGGCCAUUCAAGUUAGAUGUGAAAGCCCUGGGCUCAACCUAGGAAUUGCAUUUGAUACUGUUUGGCUUGAGUUCGGGAGAGGUGAGUGGAAUUCCCAGUGUAGAGGUGAAAUUCGUAGAUAUUGGGAAGAACACCAGUGGCGAAGGCGGCUCACUGGACCGACACUGACGCUGAGGCGCGAAAGCGUGGGGAGCAAACAGGAUUAGAUACCCCCGUAGUCCCUGUCUCUUAUAC